UCGAAAGUGAGGCAUCUCAUUUUCGGGAAACGGUAGGGCUCUUCGGACCUUCUGUUGAGGGAACGGAUCACGACCUAUUAGCUAGUUGGUGAGGUAACGGCUCACCAAGGCUGUGAUGGGUAGCCGGCCUGAGAGGGUGGUCGGCCGCAUUGGGACUGAGACACGGCCCAGACUCCUACGGGAGGCAGCAGUCGAGAAUCUUCCGCAAUAGGCGAAAGCCUGACGGAGCGACGCCGCGUGAAGGAUGAAGGCCUUCGGGUUGUAAACUUCUGUCACUCGCUAUGAAUGAUAUGGUGUUAACAGCGCCUUAUUUGACCAAGGCGAGAGAGGAAGCACCGGCUAACCCUGUGCCAGCAGCCGCGGUAAGACAGGGGGUGCAAACGUUGCUCGGAAUCACUGGGCGUAAAGCGCACGUAGGCGGUCUCGUGAGUCGGGUGUGAAAUCCCACAGCUUAACUGUGGAACUGCGCCCGAUACUGCGGGGCUCGAGGAUGGGAGGGGAGAGCGGAAUUCCUGGUGGAGCGGUGAAAUGCGUAGAUAUCAGGAGGAACACCGGUGGCGAAAGCGGCUCUCUGGUCCAUCCCUGACGCUGAGGUGCGAGAGCUAGGGGAGCAAACGGGAUUAGAUACCCCGGUAGUCCUAGCUGUAAACGAUGGGCACUAGGUAGAGGGAUCUAUGCGUCUCUUUGCCGGAGCUAACGCGUUAAGUGCCCCGCCUGGGGAGUAUGCUCGCAAGGGUAAAGCUCAAAGGAAUUGACGGGGGCUCACACAAGCGGUGGAGCAUGUGGUUCAAUUCGACGCAACGCGAAGAACCUUACCCAGACUUGACAUGUACGGAUUAGCCGGCGGAAACGUUGGUGACGCUCGCAAGAGUGGAACAUGCACAGGUGCUGCAUGGCUGUCGUCAGCUCGUGUCGUGAGAUGUUGGGUUAAGUCCCGUAACGAGCGAAACCCUUGCCCCAAGUUGCGACCAGGUAAAGCUGAGCACUCUUAGGGGACUGCCGUUGUCAAAACGGAGGAAGGUGGGGAUGACGUCAAGUCAUCAUGGCUUUUAUGUCUGGGGCUACACACGUGCUACAAUGGCCGGUACAACGGGUUCCGAGGGCGCAAGCCGGAGGCAAUCUCUUAAAGCCGGUCUCAGUUCGGAUUGGAGGCUGCAACUCGCCUCCAUGAAGCCGGAAUCGCUAGUAAUCGCGGAUCAGCUACGCCGCGGUGAAUAUGUUCCUGAGCCUUGUACACACCGCCCGUCAAGCCACGAAAGCUGAGAGCACCUUAAGUCGCUUGCCUAACCGCAAGGAGGGCGGCGCCCACGGUGAGCUCGGUGAUUGGGACUAAGUCGUAACAAGGUA
RNAcentral lists this ribosomal RNA (1347 nucleotides) under metagenome. Its description in RNAcentral is "bacterial SSU rRNA". It matches the Rfam family "Bacterial small subunit ribosomal RNA", at positions 173 to 1498 of the family's 1533-position model. The record is from RNAcentral.